AAUGAACGCUGGCGGCAGGCCUAACACAUGCAAGUCGAACGGAUCCUUCGGGAUUAGUGGCGGACGGGUGAGUAACGCGUGGGAACAUACCCUUUGGUACGGAAUAGCCUCGGGAAACUGGGAGUAAUACCGUAUGUGGUCGAGAGACGAAAGAUUUAUCGCCAAAGGAUUGGCCUGCGUUGGAUUAGGUAGUUGGUGGGGUAAUGGCCUACCAAGCCGACGAUCCAUAGCUGGUUUGGGAGGAUGAUCAGCCACACUGGGACUGAGACACGGCCCAGACUCCUACGGGAGGCAGCAGGGGGGAAUCUUAGACAAUGGGGGAAACCCUGAUCUAGCCAUGCCGCGUGAUCGAUGAAGGCCUUAGGGUUGUAAAGAUCUUUCAGGUGGGAAGAUAAUGACUGUACCACCAGAAGAAGCCCCGGCUAACUCCGUGCCAGCCGCCGCAGUAA
RNAcentral lists this ribosomal RNA (449 nucleotides) under uncultured bacterium. RNAcentral describes it as "partial 16S ribosomal RNA". It matches the Rfam family "Bacterial small subunit ribosomal RNA", at positions 29 to 523 of the family's 1533-position model. The record is from RNAcentral.